Hyaena hyaena (striped hyena) is the source of this 107-nucleotide small nuclear RNA. The record is from RefSeq and is a predicted model, not a curated record. NCBI's taxonomy places the organism in Eukaryota, Metazoa, Chordata, Mammalia, Carnivora, Hyaenidae.
GUGCUUGCUUUGGCAGGACACACACUAAAAUUGGAAUGAUCCAGAGAAGAUUAGCAUGGCCCUUGCACAAGGAUGACACACAAAUACUACGUUUGUGAAACUUACUC